This 253-nucleotide ribosomal RNA is filed under the name uncultured bacterium. RNAcentral's name for it is "partial 16S ribosomal RNA". It matches the Rfam family "Bacterial small subunit ribosomal RNA", at positions 524 to 776 of the family's 1533-position model. The record is from RNAcentral.
UACGUAGGGGGCAAGCGUUGUCCGGAAUCAUUGGGCGUAAAGCGCGUGUAGGCGGCUUUGCAAGUCGGAUGUGAAAGCCCACGGCUCAACCGUGGAAGUGCAUCCGAAACUGCAUGGCUCGAGUCUCGGAGAGGAAGGUGGAAUGCUUGGUGUAGAGGUGAAAUUCGUAGAUAUCAAGCAGAACACCUGCGGCGAAGGCGGCCUUCUGGACGAUGACUGACGCUGAGACGCGAAAGCGUGGGGAGCAAACAGG